Molecule: ribosomal RNA, 466 nt
Filed under: uncultured bacterium
Lineage: Bacteria
Description: bacterial SSU rRNA
Rfam family: Bacterial small subunit ribosomal RNA
Source: RNAcentral
GCCAGACUCCUACGGGAGGCAGCAGUGAGGAAUAUUGGUCAAUGGGCGGGAGCCUGAACCAGCCAAGUCGCGUGAGGGAAGACGGUCCUAUGGAUUGUAAACCUCUUUUGUCGGGGAGCAAAAAGGCCUCGUGAGGCCACAAGUGAGAGUACCCGAAGAAAAAGCAUCGGCUAACUCCGUGCCAGCAGCCGCGGUAAUACGGAGGAUGCGAGCGUUAUCCGGAUUUAUUGGGUUUAAAGGGUGCGUAGGCGGACUGGAAAGUCAGGGGUAAAAUCGAGAGGCUCAACCUCUUUCCGCCGUUGAAACUGUCGGUCUUGAGUGGGCGAGAAGUAUGCGGAAUGCGUGGUGUAGCGGUGAAAUGCAUAGAUAUCACGCAGAACUCCGAUUGCGAAGGCAGCAUACCGGCGCCCGACUGACGCUGAGGCACGAAAGCGUGGGUAUCGAACAGGAUUAGAUACCCUAGUAU